Molecule: long non-coding RNA, 1742 nt
Organism: Tetranychus urticae (two-spotted spider mite)
Lineage: Eukaryota; Metazoa; Arthropoda; Arachnida; Trombidiformes; Tetranychidae
Source: RefSeq, a predicted model, not a curated record
UUUUCAAUUAAUUAGUCAAAUUCAUCAUUUUCCCAAUCAAUUAUUUUCCCAUUCUCGUCUUAUUAAAAUAAUGAUUGAUAAAUAACAGUUUGACCACAAUUAUAUCAUCAACCAUAAUGACUUUAAUCAACAAAUUGUGUUUGACCAGAGCACAAAAUUUUACAUUGUCCUUGGUUAAAAGGUUUACCUUGAGAAGUUGAAUUUUAUCAAGUUUCAAAUGAUGCUACAAUCCUGUACAAUUAAUCUUAAUUAAGAGACAACCUAACCUUGAGAUUUACCAAAGUAACAUCAAGUUUGAAAUAAAAGGAAAAAACCAGGAUAAAAACCAACAGAGUAAAGGGUAAAAGUAUCAUCAUCUACAGUGUAAAUGAUCUCUUCCAUCUGAUAACAUAUGUUAUGUGCCUGACAAAGUUUCCAUCUUGAUGGUAAAUGUGAUUCAAAUUACUCUUUAAAUCUACUGUCUACGGUGAAUACAUUUUCUGGUGUUGAAUAAACUUGAAUUUCAACCCAUUUCCAAUGUAAAUACAUUGUCAAGUCGUCUAAUUUAAGGUUUGAUUGGAUAAAAAAUGGAUCUUGAAAAUUACAUCUCAGCAAGGGAAACAUUUUUUCCCAUUUCAAUAUCAAGUUUAAAAGUGACAAGAGUCUCAUGUGAAGACAAGAGACAAAACUUAAUGGGAUUGAAUACAUAAAUUGUUGACAGACCAUAACAAUUAUUAUUUAUUAUUGAUGAUAAUAACUAUGAUACCGUUUUUAAAUAGCAUUUAAUGUGAGUGAAAUGAUACAGUGUACAGUUUAAUUUGAAAGAUUUCUUUGAGUCUUGCUGGUUGUUUGUGUUCAUCCACUUGACAGGUCUUUUAACCAAAGUGUUGUCUGCAUUUCUUAAUGAAUUAAGGCCAUUGUUGAAACAGAACACACACAAAAUGUUGAACUUUCAAUGAAUGAUUCACUAUAUAUAUUGUAUUAAUAAGACAUCAAGAAUGGGUAAAAAAACAUAAAGUGUAAAGUGAAUACCAAUAAUGGUCGAGGCUUUUUCAUUAUUGUUUGGUGUAAUCUCAUUAAGAUGAUCAACUCAUAAGGUGUUAACAAUCAACAGUCAACAUGAUGGCAACACUUGACUAAUGUUAUCCAGUUAUACAAUGGGAAACCAAAGAAGCGAAAUUAACCGGACUUGGACAAUCAAUUUAAAUCAGUCUAAUUGUUGCCAAUAAUAUCAUCUAACCUUCAUUUAUACAAAAAGAUUUGUCGACUUGGAUUGAUUACAGCUGUGAAUAACCAAAUACAAAAUGUACAAUCUCCAAUAAUUGGCUCUGGUUUAUGGUUACCUUGGACUCGACUGUAUUUGUAGCAAUUGUGGCAACUCCAUUCAACUGGUAAAGAACCAAAUUUCAGGGUUAAUUGUGACAAUUGGUUUAUUAAUGUUUAUAUCAAUGUUACAAUUGCUAUUAGUGAAUAACAAAUCAACUAAAAAAUGCAGCUGAUUAAAUGAUUGCUCUCAAAAUAGAGAUAUAAAAAUGUAAACAAGUUUACCCAAUAUUUCUGGUUAUGAGCUUUUCGCCACGCAACUCUUGUUAUUGCUCACUAUUGAUUUAGUAUCCAUAUAAUUGUUCCCAUUUGAACCUUAAUCAUUCAAUUGAACACUUUCAUUGAACCAAAACCUAACCCAAGACCAAAUAACCAGUUUUUCAAUUUUUUUGGGUAACAUCACAACGCUGUUAACAAUGAACAAUUGAUUUCAACCCAAA